This is a long non-coding RNA of Amphiprion ocellaris (clown anemonefish), 373 nucleotides long. The record is from Ensembl. NCBI's taxonomy places the organism in Eukaryota, Metazoa, Chordata, Actinopteri, Pomacentridae.
UGGUUUUACCCCACACAUAGCCUAAAUGUCUGCAUCCAUAUCAUGUUCUGUUAAACAAUUAAGCCUAUUUAAACUAACACAGACUUCUACUCAGCCAACAGAAAGAAAGCAGAUGCCCGUAAAACAGGAGGUGGCCCAGCAGCACCACCUCUAACGGAGGCAGAGGAGCUGGUCCUAAGCCAGAAUUUGGGAAGGCCAGUGGCUGAGGGAAUCCCUGGAGGGAGCUCAUCCUCUGAGACCACAUCCCAAGACACAAGUGCUUUUAUAAAAUAUUCUGAUGGUACUAUCUGCCUGGUGGAGCCCCUUCACACCACAACAGACCUUGUAACUGAUGAAGAGGAUGAAACUGUGUCUGCUGCCUUUACAGAGGGGG